UCGUGGAGUGAUCUGUCUGCUUAAUUGCGUUUCACUAAGGGCUUAUAAAUUUACGUAUGUUGUGAGUACUUUGACCCCUAUAUUGAAAUAUAUAUAGUGCGCGUCUUAGUUUGCUUCACUCAUACAAUUAAGUCCUGAAAGCAACGAACGUGACCGCAACCUCUUGUUGCUUCUAAUUUUAACGCGUAUUUUAAUAUUUAUAUUAUUUUACGUAUAAAGAAGCUUUGAAACUAGAGGGACCG
This 242-nucleotide ribosomal RNA is filed under the name uncultured eukaryote. RNAcentral describes it as "partial 18S ribosomal RNA". The record is from RNAcentral.